Molecule: long non-coding RNA, 533 nt
Organism: Siniperca chuatsi (mandarin fish)
Lineage: Eukaryota; Metazoa; Chordata; Actinopteri; Centrarchiformes; Sinipercidae
Exons: 4
Source: RefSeq, a predicted model, not a curated record
UUCUGCAGGAACAGAAUGCAACACAAUCCGUGGAUGGCACUUCCCAAGGAGAUACACACACCAGAUGGAUGCCUUCCUGGCCGGUCCGGGACCAGCAGACCGCAGCAUCAUUACCGUCAAGUCAAUAAGGAGAUAUAACUUUUGUUACCAGCCCCAUAUCGAUCUGUGCAAGAUACCUUCUCCCACCAUGCACUAGGCUAAUCGCCAGUCUUCCGGUAUCACUCCAUCUUUCUGUGGUUAACUUGAUGCAGCUCGCAGCAUCCAGACCGUGCGACGGUGCGACGAUCCAAUCAGCAGCGCUGAGUGAAGGCUUGGCCACCUAAGCAACCAAUUGCUUUGGACUUAGGGCGUGUCCACUCUCAGGAGGCUGUACCACUAUCAGAAGAAGAGGGUGACAUGAAGAUAACAGCAGAGCUGCUGCUUCCCUCACCAUUCGCACACCAACCUGUUCAUGCCAGGAAGGUUACCCCAGAAGUAGCGGGCACGGUGGGCAGCAGACACUUCCUUGGCAUCGAUCAUCACUGGGUUGCACU